RNAcentral lists this ribosomal RNA (253 nucleotides) under uncultured bacterium. RNAcentral describes it as "partial 16S ribosomal RNA". It matches the Rfam family "Bacterial small subunit ribosomal RNA", at positions 524 to 776 of the family's 1533-position model. The record is from RNAcentral.
UACGAAGGGGGCUAGCGUUGCUCGGAAUCACUGGGCGUAAAGCGCACGUAGGCGGCUUUUUAAGUCAGGGGUGAAAUCCUGGAGCUCAACUCCAGAACUGCCUUUGAUACUGAGAAGCUUGAGUCCGGGAGAGGUGAGUGGAACCGCGAGUGUAGAGGUGAAAUUCGUAGAUAUUCGCAAGAACACCAGUGGCGAAGGCGGCUCACUGGCCCGGUACUGACGCUGAGGUGCGAAAGCGUGGGGAGCAAACAGG